Molecule: ribosomal RNA, 40 nt
Filed under: Begonia taiwaniana
Lineage: Eukaryota; Viridiplantae; Streptophyta; Magnoliopsida; Cucurbitales; Begoniaceae
Description: partial 18S ribosomal RNA
Source: RNAcentral
AACAAGGUUUCCGUAGGUGAACGUGCGGAAGGAUCAUUGU